GCGCCCGUAGUUCAAUUGGAUAGAUCACUGGCCUCCGAAGCCAGACGUGGCAGUUCGAUUCUGCCCGGGCGCGCCA
RNAcentral lists this transfer RNA (76 nucleotides) under Candidatus Omnitrophota bacterium. Its description in RNAcentral is "tRNA-Arg". It matches the Rfam family "tRNA". Rfam says of the family: Transfer RNA (tRNA) molecules are approximately 80 nucleotides in length. Their secondary structure includes four short double-helical elements and three loops (D, anti-codon, and T loops). Lineage: Bacteria; Pseudomonadati; Candidatus Omnitrophota. The record is from RNAcentral.